RNAcentral lists this unclassified non-coding RNA (373 nucleotides) under uncultured fungus. Its description in RNAcentral is "partial contains 5.8S ribosomal RNA, internal transcribed spacer 2, and large subunit ribosomal RNA". Lineage: Eukaryota; Fungi. The record is from RNAcentral.
AACGCAUCUUGCACUAUUCGGCUUCCCCGGAUAGUAUGCCUGGUUGAGUGUCUGUGUAUCUCUCCUACAUCAAUGUUUUUUGAUAUUGGUAUAGGGACUUGGGGUCUAAUCUCGUCGGGUAACACCGGUGAACCCUUUAAAUAUAGUAAGCUCCCUUCUUAUUCCACAAUGGAAAUACGCAAACCUGGGGAUGGCGUCGUAGCAAUCUACUUUUCAGUAUCAUUGUCGAAGCGCCUACACACACCUCUAAUCUGCGGUGCUAAUCCAUUCGAGUCGGGCGAAGCUUAACGACUGGCAAAGCGCCAUGCUCCCUUUAUUGGAGCACACGAACAACAAUGACCUCAACUCAGGUAGGACAACCCGCUGGACUUAA